This is a long non-coding RNA of Odontomachus brunneus, 1703 nucleotides long. RefSeq lists it as uncharacterized. Lineage: Eukaryota; Metazoa; Arthropoda; Insecta; Hymenoptera; Formicidae. The transcript is spliced from 3 exons. The record is from RefSeq and is a predicted model, not a curated record.
AAUAUAGAUUUUAAUAAUUUUUCUUCUCUCUUUAUGUGUGUGUGUGUGUGUGUGUAUGUGUGUGUGUAUAUUAUUACACUCGCGAGCGCGGGGGAAAGAACUACAACAGUUUUUAAAAAAAAGAAGUAGCCUUUAUUCUUUGAGCAGAAAAGAAUACGCCGGGAAAACCGUUCUCUCUUAGCCAAAACGUCCGCACGAUGCUGAAGCUGUUAAGAGACUCCCUUCAGCUCUCAAAACAAACAGCACACCGACUAUUGCUAAGGAUCAUUUGUAAGCCGCGGAUUUCAGGAGCGACAUGAAUACGGCGCCUCACAAAUACUAUUUAAUCCAUUCAGUCAUAGACCACGUCCAAUCAUGGACACAAUAUCAGACUCACACGAACUUUAUUUAAUAUCUCAUAUCGUACAACAGUAUGUCAUAGUAAGAAUUCAUUCUUAUUCUAAAAAACUUAGUUCCACAUUAUUAGGACCACAUCAAAUAAUGAGACAAAAGUUACAUAAAACAAUUCUUUUUUAUAAUAUUUAAUGCAUAUAUACACGUGUGCAAUUAUAUAUAUAUAUAUAACUCAUAUAUAUAUAUAUAUAUAUAUAUAUAUAUAUAUAUAUAUGUAUACAUAUAUACCCAGCUAGCCAAAUCUGCUCAAGCAAAUUUUGCCCAACACUUGACUACAAAUUUUGUUGCCAAAAUGUCAUCAAAUUGGACACAAUAUCUGCUAAAUCAAAGGUUGUUGGCAAAUUGACGCCAAAUACCGAGCAAGAUUUAUGCGGUACAGUUUGACGUCAAAUUGAUGCCAAAUACUGAACAAAGCUUGGUGAAAUCUAACGCCAAAUUGACUCCAAAUACCGACCAAGGUUUGUGCGGCACAGUUUGGCGCCAAACUUUGCGAUAUUUGGCGACAAUUUGGCAUCAGAUUUUGUCACCAAGCUUUACCAACAAAACCCAAGCAUAUUGCGGACGCAGAUGGCAUCGGAUUAAGGCACUAAAAAGAUAGGUAUUCUUGUCCGCCAUUUUCAUGCUAUUCCCCCACUCCUUGCACUCCUGACGCUACGCCACUGAGCUGUCAGCCGAGGAAGCAUGGUAGGUUGAGCAUAGUAGUUACGAGUUCUAAGCUGAUCGAAAUUUUUUGUGUUUACGUGUCCAAAUUUCUUUCCGUUUAUAAAAUGUCUUGCUGCGCUGCAAUGAAUUGUUCGAACAGACCUGAAAAAAGUGUUCGAUUAUUUCAAUUUCCUAUGGAUAAUGUUCGUCGAACGCAAUGGGUACGUAAUGUCAACAGGGGAUCUUGGACACCAUCGAAAUCAACGUUCCUUUGCGAAAAACAUUUUGAAGAGUCGCAAUUUGAGACUGAUCGAGCAGAUAGUUGAAAAAAAUUGAAGCCAAAUGCCGUGCCGACGCUAUUCAAUGUAUUAAAUUCACCUGUUGCAAAUGAAAUAGCUGAUGAAAAUUUAACAGCUGAAAAUAAUGAAAAUAUAAGUGCAGCCACUGAGAAAGAUAGCUCUAUAGAUGCAGAAAAAAAUGUUGAGCCAGUUACAGAAGAGAGCCUUUUGUUGAUGUUGGCAGAAAAUCAGUUUUUGAAGCAGCAGUUGGAGAGAAUCCACGCAAUAAUAAGAUGCCAUGAUCAUCACUCAGCAGUUGCCACAUACCUAAAGAAUUAUAAUGUUGAAUAGUUCAAUCUGUAUAUAUGUAUAUGAUAUUCUUAAUGCUGU